Molecule: non-coding RNA, 74 nt
Organism: Caerostris darwini
Lineage: Eukaryota; Metazoa; Arthropoda; Arachnida; Araneae; Araneidae
Source: the annotation of a GenBank genome assembly
ACCACCGAAGUCAAGCAUCAUUGGGCGCGGUCAGUACUUGGGUGGGUGACCAUCUGGGAACACCGCGUGCCGUU